Molecule: ribosomal RNA, 253 nt
Filed under: uncultured bacterium
Lineage: Bacteria
Description: partial 16S ribosomal RNA
Rfam family: Bacterial small subunit ribosomal RNA
Source: RNAcentral
UACGGAGGGGGCGAGCGUUGUCCGAAGUUACUGGGCGUAAAGGGCGCGUAGGCGGGGUGUCACGUCCGCUGUGAAAGCCUGGAGCUUAACUCCAGCGGGUCGGUGGAUACGGGCACUCUUGAAGGCGUUAGGGGAAGAUGGAAUUACCCGUGGAGCGGUGAAAUGCGUAGAGAUGGGUAGGAACACCAGUGGCGAAGGCGACUUCCUGGCCUGUUCUUGACGCUGAGGCGCGAAAGCUAGGGGAGCAAACGGG